RNAcentral lists this ribosomal RNA (456 nucleotides) under uncultured bacterium. Its description in RNAcentral is "bacterial SSU rRNA". It matches the Rfam family "Bacterial small subunit ribosomal RNA", at positions 28 to 507 of the family's 1533-position model. The record is from RNAcentral.
GAUGAAUGCUGGCGGCGUGGAUAAGGCAUGCAAGUCGAACGGAGACACUUUGAGAUUACAUCAAGAUUUGUCUUAGUGGCAGACGAGGUAGUAUAACAUAGGUAUCUUCCCUUAAGUCAGGAAUAACAUAUCGAAAGAUAUGCUAAUACUUGAUAGUCUCUACGGAGUAAAGUUUUAACGCUUAAGGACGAGCCUAUUCGAUAUCAGCUAGUUGGUAAGGUAAUGGCUUACCAAGGCAAUGACGUCUAGAGGAGCUGAGAGGCUGACCCUCACCGAUGGGACUGAGACACGGCCCAUACACCUACGGGUGGCUGCAGUCGAGAAUUUUCCGCAAUGGGCGCAAGCCUGACGGAGCGACGCCGCGUGGUUGAUGAAGUACUUAGGUAUGUAAAAACCUUUUAUGAGGGAAAAAGUUUAUUGAUUGUACCUCAUGAAUAAGGGGUUGCUAAACUCGUG